Molecule: long non-coding RNA, 255 nt
Organism: Xiphophorus hellerii (green swordtail)
Lineage: Eukaryota; Metazoa; Chordata; Actinopteri; Cyprinodontiformes; Poeciliidae
Exons: 4
Source: RefSeq, a predicted model, not a curated record
CCUGUUGCUGCUCACUGAUUAAACCUGUGUGUGAUUGUUUAAACCCUUCUAGGACUACCAUUAUAAAAGUCCGCAUGAGCAUCUUUUUACAUUUUUGGAUGCUGCAGAGUCAUUAUUAGGAGCACUCCAAUGUUCUUUACAUCUAUAAAAUCCUUAUAAGUCCUCCUUUCCAAGUUUGUAUGCCAUUUAUCAAUAAUAACUGAUUAAAAAUAGAAAAUUUGCAAAACAAUAACAAGAACUCCAUCCGUUUAUAAU